CAAGAGGAGUUUGCUACCCUCUUAGGUAUAGGUGUAUGUCAUGCUAUGUAUUUGACUUAGUAUAUCUUGUUGUAAGAGUCACGAGCAAAUAUUUAUUGAAUGCAAGUUGGGAGCAUUCGAUUGUAGUGAAAACAUCCCCAAGUACUUGAGAAGCACUAAGGGGUUAUUUCUAAUUUUUGAAGAAGGGUUACAGCUAAGAGUGGGAGGAUACACUAAUGCUGAUGGUAGAAUAUCUACAUCAGUAUGUAUUCUUGAGUUAUAUUAUUUUGAUAUGUUAGAAAGGUUCCAAGCAACCAACC
RNAcentral lists this long non-coding RNA (299 nucleotides) under Elaeis guineensis (African oil palm). RNAcentral describes it as "long non-coding RNA (EGUI_LNC013135)". Lineage: Eukaryota; Viridiplantae; Streptophyta; Magnoliopsida; Arecales; Arecaceae. The record is from RNAcentral.